UAUAAGUUUUUUAUUUUAGUAAUUUUUAAUAUAUCAGAUUAUUGCACAAUGAUAUUUGGUGAAAGUUUCAAUCUUGAAAGUUAUAGAUAAAAUAACUGUGCAAUUAUUUUAUUAUAACUUGUUGUAAUUAUUUCAAACCCUAACAAAAGGAAGAAACCCUAACUCAGUAAUAACAAAAGAAAGGCUGGAAAUUUGCUAAGCAGUUCAAAAUUGGUCUGUUGAAGAUUGAUACAUGAUGAUUAAAAUUGUCAUAUUAUUUUUAUAUUAUUCUGUUAUUUUAAAAAUCCAUCAUUUUUCUUCAAUUUUUUGAAUUUUACUGUACAAUUUCUUUUAAUUUUGAAUUGUGUUAUACAGUCACAUUAUGCAAUGUUUUUUGAUUAAUUAAAAGUACCUUUUGAUGAUACAUGAAUUCUCAGUGACAAAAAUCAGAAAACCAACUAUUUUUUCUUUAAAUCAAAGUAAAAUACAAGCACAAUCAAUAGGAUACAGAUAUUUAAUAAAUGCAGUUGAAAUACACAAAUGUUGUUAUAAACGAAAAAUGCUUUUGGCUUAAUGAGGCCAUUGUCAGUUCAUUAAACACACAAAGAACAAGCUAUUAUUCUUUUUGCUCAGUGAUAAACCCAUUCUCUCUAUUAUGGAGGAAUGCAAUCAGUAUAUACAUAGAAAGGCUAAAUGCCGGCAUAAAACUAAAGAAUUUUACAUUGGUUAUGAUCUGGUGUAUAAUAUCCAAGAGGUAAUCCUGAUAGAUAAUAAAUUUUGGAAAGCAUUUUAUAGCUCAGCAAUAUUGAACAUAUUAGAAAUAAAGUUAUUACCUCAAAUAUACAUAUGAUUUCCAAAUAAUCAUUGCAUCUUAAUGUAGAAUGAUACAUAAAGUCAAGAAUGUUAUCAGUUUCCUGGAAAAAAAGCAAGUUAGAACAUUGCCUUGGCUUAGCAACAGUCAAGACUUUAAUUCCUUUGGAAAAUUUAAUUUUUAUUAAUGAAAAUGAUUCAAGUUACAUGAUUACCAAGCCAGAACUUAUAAAAAGGUAAAUUUAUAUAUGGUGUAAUGAUAAGGUGAAAUUUUUGUAUAAAAAUUUAAGAAGUAUGCUGAAGAGAAUAAAUUUGUUAAUUAUGAAUAUAAUGAGACUAAUUAUGAAUAUUACUCUCAUUAAUAAUUUAUUUAUAAUUUUAUCACUAUUUAAAUGGAUAAAAACUGUAGAAAUGUCUUUUAUCCUAAUAAUUUGGAUAUGGAAAUUUAGGAAAUUUAAUUCUGAAAAGAUAUUCUUUUUUGAAGUUCUUUAAUAAUGAUUGUUUUCAAUGUUAUGAACAUUGUAACAAUUUUGAGCUAGUAUAUGGAAUAAUACAAUUAUAAUAUGAAAUCUCUACCCAUUGUCACAAUAAAGUUGUGAAAAUGUAUUUCAUAUUUUCUGAAUUAAGGAAAAAAAUCUCAUUAAUAUAGAUCUUUUUGAGGCAAAGUUGUAUAUAUAUAUUUUUCUUUUCUAUGAGGUUUUAUAUUGCUUUCCAAAGUUAUUAAAUGACACAGCAUUUCAGUAGCCAUCAUUAGUUACCCAUGCCUUUGAUGGAGUCAGCAAUCAGAUGAAAAAUGGGGUUCAAUGAGCUGGGCCAGAACCCUUCUAAAAAAUUUUCGAAGAUAUGGAAUCUGUGAAUUAAACUAUUUGGCCAAUGUAAAACUUAUCAAAGUUGAAUGGCUUAACAGUACAGCAGUGUAAAGUAUUAGCGAAGAUAAACUUGUGCAUGAAAGUAUAUAUACUGUAUUGUAUAUUUUUAAACUGAUUUAUUGUUGAUUGCUGACAAUGAAAAACUGCAUCAGGUUAAUAGGAAUUUUGACCUAUUUAGCCUGUUGCAUUGAGGAACCAGGUCUCAAAUUCAACCUAUCUUUAUGAAAAUAUGCAUUUAAGUUUCAUAUAAGUUGCCCAUCUGAAUCUUAUACAAAAUCAAUAUUUCAUCUGAGUUUUAAGUUAUUAUUAAAUAAUUGCAUUGUUGUUG
RNAcentral lists this long non-coding RNA (1986 nucleotides) under Androctonus crassicauda. The record is from RNAcentral. Lineage: Eukaryota; Metazoa; Arthropoda; Arachnida; Scorpiones; Buthidae.